GCUGAAUACAGAGGGCAAGAGUGUGGGCAGGAAGAACAUGAUGGUAGCCUGCAAUAAGAUCAUCAGCAAUGGAGAUGGUUCUCUGUGUUCUCUCGACGUCUGGUGCAAUGAAGAAGUCGGGAGAUGGUGCUUGAAUCCUGACUCUGCCACAAGCUGGCUGUGUGACCCUGGGGAAGCCACUUCUCUGCUCUGAGCUGCUCAUUUGCAAAAUGAAGAGCUCUUCUAGAACACUUCCACCUCCAUGGACAUUUGAGACCCUCACAACCGUCUUCUGUGAAAAGGAAACUAAAACACACAUGCGACCUGCUUCCAGUUAUACCACAAGGUAGAAUCAGAUAAAAUCCUGAGCAGUGCCCUCCCUGCAUUUAACUCGACACAUGAUUUAUGGAGCACCCGCCAAAUUCUUGUUGAGAAAACAGAGAGGAAUAAGCCACAGAAUCCAUCCUCGAGGAAUUCAGAGUCCAUUAGGGAGACAGACAGAUAAACAGAUAAUUCCAGCACAGUUUGGUAUGUGCUCUUAAUGAUACAAAGUACUAGAGCAAUGCAGAAUUCAGAGUGGCUAAUUUUGCCUGGGGUUAUCAGCAAAGGCUCCAUCCAGGAGUGGGCACUUGGCUAUACUGACAGAGUGGAAGAGCGUUCCAGCAGAAGGGAACAGAGUGAGCUAAAGCAAGGUUAUGGGAGAGAACACAGUGUGUGCAGAGAGCCCCACACAGAUAGUGUGAAACAGCUGGAGGGUUUAUAGAGAGUGGCGCAGAAUCAUCUCGGGGGCUGUCAGUAGGUAUCAGCCGCCAUCCUCACCUCACUUGGCACGCCCCCUGAGGCUACGGCCUGUGUCCAUCUAAUAGGCCAGUACAACACCUGGCCAAGUGCCGGUGGCAUGGUAGUGCUUAAUGAAUUCCCUUUGAAGAUGAGAGGAUUGUGAGGGAGAAAAGAAUUUGCCACUCGAGUGAGUCAACUGGAACGGAAGGUGUGUCCUGGUUCCUGAGGCCCAGCACUCGGGCUGGCCAACUGGACAGCAAGGUCACCUUCCCCGGGGGCAUAGGGGUCCACCUGGGAAUAUCAAGUCUUUUUUCAGCAAGUCGUUCCUAAGCCACAGUACUUUUGGCUCACUCCUUGCCUUUAUAGUUCUACCAACGUAAUUGAUCCCAGAGCUCGGUUUCUGCCAUAGCCCUUGGUUUCCUAGGGAGUGAUGGCAUAUUCAGGCCUCCUUGGAGCCCCAGCACGGCCCAAGCCUCCUGGGGGACAGCGCAGAGGGAUGUGUAACAGGCAGACAUUAAUAGUCCUGUUCUGCUGUAGUCAUCUUUUUGGGUGCUCUGAGCUUCCUGUCCUGAGCUAAGAUUUUCCUUUGGGGUUAGCUGAGGCAUGGAAAAAUAAACAAAGCUUUAAAGUGACUCUCCCCAUUGGAAAGCUAAAAGCAUUUCCAAGAAGCUGCUUUUUCCUACCUUCUGAUGAGUGUGUCCAGG
Molecule: non-coding RNA, 1463 nt
Organism: Microcebus murinus (gray mouse lemur)
Lineage: Eukaryota; Metazoa; Chordata; Mammalia; Primates; Cheirogaleidae
Source: RefSeq, a predicted model, not a curated record